Molecule: ribosomal RNA, 314 nt
Filed under: uncultured soil bacterium
Lineage: Bacteria
Description: bacterial SSU rRNA
Rfam family: Bacterial small subunit ribosomal RNA
Source: RNAcentral
AGAUUGAACGCUGGCGGCAGGCCUAACACAUGCAAGUCGAGCGGCAGCACGGGUACUUGUACCUGGCGGCGAGCGGCGGACGGGUGAGUAAUGCCUAGGAAUCUGCCUGAUAGUGGGGGAUAACGUUCGGAAACGGACGCUAAUACCGCAUACGUCCUACGGGAGAAAGUGGGGGAUCUUCGGACCUCACGCUAUCAGAUGAGCCUAGGUCAGAUUAGCUAGUUGGUAGGUAAAGGCCUACCAAGGCUACGAUCCGUAACUGGUCUGAGAGGAUGAUCAGUCACACUGGAACUGAGACACGGUCCAGACUCCUA